This 442-nucleotide ribosomal RNA is filed under the name uncultured bacterium. RNAcentral's name for it is "partial 16S ribosomal RNA". It matches the Rfam family "Bacterial small subunit ribosomal RNA", at positions 338 to 795 of the family's 1533-position model. The record is from RNAcentral.
UCUACGGGUGGCUGCAGUGGGGCAUAUUGGACAAUGGGGGGAACCCUGAUCCAGCGACGCCACGUGAGUGAAGAAGUAUUUCGGUAUGUAAAGCUCUAUCAGCAGGGAAGAAAGAAAUGACGGUACCUGACUAAGCAGCCCCGGCUCACUACGUGCCAGCAGCCGCGGUAAUACGUAGGGGGCAAGCGUUAUCCGGAUUUACUGGGUGUAAAGGGAGCGCAGGCGGCGUGGCAAGUCCGAGGUGAAAACCCGGGGCCCAACCCCGGGAGUGCAUUUGAAACUGCCAUGGUGGAGUGCCGGAGAGGUAAGCGGAAUUCCUAGUGUAGCGGUGAAAUGCGUAGAUAUUAGGAGGAACACCAGUGGCGGAGGCGGCUUACUGGACGGUAACUGACGCUGAGGCUCGAAAGCGUGGGGAGCAAACAGGAUUAGAUACCCUAGUGUC